This is a long non-coding RNA of Gorilla gorilla gorilla (western lowland gorilla), 1282 nucleotides long. RefSeq lists it as uncharacterized. The transcript is spliced from 4 exons. Lineage: Eukaryota; Metazoa; Chordata; Mammalia; Primates; Hominidae. The record is from RefSeq and is a predicted model, not a curated record.
GUACCUGCACAGGAGAAACACCACGGAUCACAGCGCGAUCUGAAUGGCAAGAGCCUUGCCCUCACCCCACACCUUCCCAGCCUGCUUCCCCUGGGACACAGCCGUUGCUCACUUCCUAUCUGGUCCCCAGAGGCCUCAGCCUGCAUCCUCACCCAGACAGAGCAGUUCUCAAGGAUCCUCCCCGUGCCCAGAAGUCUCCCUAGCCUGAGUGGGAGACCUCUCCCAGGAUGACGAGACACUGACUCCUAGCCACUUGCAGGGUUGACCCUCAGCAGAGACGGCUGUGUCCCCUUCCCUCCAGUGCCCCGCGGUCUCAACCCAGUUAACCGGAAUCUAGACGCCACGAGCUCUUGGCUACAGCACCCUUAACCCGUAUCCGUGGCAAGGCGUCUGGCCAGGCGCCCACCCUCUGCCCCUGGCCCUCCCGGCAGCCCUCGGCAUGUACCUUUGUUGCAGAGCUCACAGACAUGGAAAUAGGAGUGACAUGAUGAAACCUUGAAGAAGGGAUGAGAAAAUGGAGCAAAAAGGCAAAAAGAAGAGAGAGAAAAAGGGGGUCUGAGAGACUGACUCAGACAGCUACCAUGAGGAUCAAAAUCAUGAAAACCAGGACAGAAGGAGGGGGGCUUCCUACCUCACAUUUGAAGGGCCGUUCUGUUGAGUGCACUUGUCUGACGUGACUGUUGAGGUGAUCCGGCCUGGGGACACGUUGGGGUUGGGGUUAGGGCGGAGGUGGUGCGCCCCAAAUCCACCAAACUGCACCACAGGCCUUUCCGAGGAUCCCUGCGCCUCCUCCCGGAGCCCAGGCCGUCACAGCGCCACUUCAGCAGGAAAUCCCUCCCCUGGAGCCCAGCAGCCGCUGCCGCCGCCUCCUCCCACGCGAAGCUUCCGUCAACCCCAAGGCCCACCUCCUCGACAAAGGACCACCCCUUGCUCCCUGGUAACCGGGAGAGGCUUCCUCCCUCCGCCCUGGGAGUGGCUCCCCUUCCCCAGCCUCAGCAGCCGCCUCCCUCCCCGCCAGCCACGGCCAGGCCACCUCCGUCGCGUCCCUCCCUCCCCACGGCCUAGCGGGCGGCCGAGGCCCCGUGCACACCGGGAGAAGCUCUUGCCACAGUGGGAGCAGUUGUAGGGCUUGUGCACAGCGCCGUCAUGUGAGCGCACGUGGUAGCUCAUGCGGUCCUUGCGCUUGAAGCGCUGCUGGCACACCGGGCACUGGUAGGGCUUCUCGUCCGAGUGCGACAGCUUGUGUCGGUUCAGGUGGUAGACGUCGCGAAAGGCCUUGCCA